This 791-nucleotide ribosomal RNA is filed under the name Kytococcus sp. CUA-901. RNAcentral describes it as "bacterial SSU rRNA". It matches the Rfam family "Bacterial small subunit ribosomal RNA", at positions 72 to 873 of the family's 1533-position model. Lineage: Bacteria; Bacillati; Actinomycetota; Actinomycetes; Micrococcales; Kytococcaceae. The record is from RNAcentral.
GCGGGUGCUUGCACUCGUGGAUCAGUGGCGAACGGGUGAGUAACACGUGAGUAACCUGCCCUCCACUCUGGGAUAAGCGCUGGAAACGGCGUCUAAUACUGGAUACGACCGACCCUCGCAUGGGGUGUUGGUGGAAAGAUUUAUCGGUGGUGGAUGGACUCGCGGCCUAUCAGCUUGUUGGUGGGGUAAUGGCCUACCAAGGCGACGACGGGUAGCCGGCCUGAGAGGGCGACCGGCCACACUGGGACUGAGACACGGCCCAGACUCCUACGGGAGGCAGCAGUGGGGAAUAUUGCACAAUGGGCGAAAGCCUGAUGCAGCGACGCCGCGUGAGGGAUGACGGCCUUCGGGUUGUAAACCUCUUUCAGCAGGGAAGAAGCUUUUGUGACGGUACCUGCAGAAGAAGCACCGGCUAACUACGUGCCAGCAGCCGCGGUAAUACGUAGGGUGCGAGCGUUGUCCGGAAUUAUUGGGCGUAAAGAGCUUGUAGGCGGUUUGUCGCGUCUGCUGUGAAAAUUCAGGGCUUAACCCUGGACGUGCAGUGGGUACGGGCAGACUAGAGUGUGGUAGGGGAGACUGGAAUUCCUGGUGUAGCGGUGGAAUGCGCAGAUAUCAGGAGGAACACCGAUGGCGAAGGCAGGUCUCUGGGCCAUUACUGACGCUGAGAAGCGAAAGCAUGGGGAGCGAACAGGAUUAGAUACCCUGGUAGUCCAUGCCGUAAACGUUGGGCGCUAGGCGUGGGUCUCAUUCCACGAGAUCCGUGUCGCAGCUAACGCAUUAAGCGCCCCGCC